This 918-nucleotide ribosomal RNA is filed under the name Bacillus subtilis. Its description in RNAcentral is "bacterial SSU rRNA". It matches the Rfam family "Bacterial small subunit ribosomal RNA", at positions 312 to 1222 of the family's 1533-position model. Lineage: Bacteria; Bacillati; Bacillota; Bacilli; Caryophanales; Bacillaceae. The record is from RNAcentral.
ACUGGGACUGAAACACGGCCCAAACUCCUACGGGAGGCAGCAGUAGGGAAUCUUCCGCAAUGGACAAAAGUCUGACGGAGCAACGCCGCGUGAGUGAUGAAGGUUUUCGGAUCGUAAAACUCUGUUGUUAGGGAAGAACAAGUACCGUUCGAAUAGGGCGGUACCUUGACGGUACCUAACCAGAAAGCCACGGCUAACUACGUGCCAGCAGCCGCGGUAAUACGUAGGUGGCAAGCGUUGUCCGGAAUUAUUGGGCGUAAAGCGCGCGCAGGCGGUUUCUUAAGUCUGAUGUGAAAGCCCCCGGCUCAACCGGGGAGGGUCAUUGGAAACUGGGGAACUUGAGUGCAGAAGAGGAGAGUGGAAUUCCACGUGUAGCGGUGAAAUGCGUAGAGAUGUGGAGGAACACCAGUGGCGAAGGCGACUCUCUGGUCUGUAACUGACGCUGAGGCGCGAAAGCGUGGGGAGCGAACAGGAUUAGAUACCCUGGUAGUCCACGCCGUAAACGAUGAGUGCUAAGUGUUAGAGGGUUUCCGCCCUUUAGUGCUGCAGCAAACGCAUUAAGCACUCCGCCUGGGGAGUACGGUCGCAAGACUGAAACUCAAAGGAAUUGACGGGGGCCCGCACAAGCGGUGGAGCAUGUGGUUUAAUUCGAAGCAACGCGAAGAACCUUACCAGGUCUUGACAUCCUCUGACAACCCUAGAGAUAGGGCUUCCCCUUCGGGGGCAGAGUGACAGGUGGUGCAUGGUUGUCGUCAGCUCGUGUCGUGAGAUGUUGGGUUAAGUCCCGCAACGAGCGCAACCCUUGAUCUUAGUUGCCAGCAUUCAGUUGGGCACUCUAAGGUGACUGCCGGUGACAAACCGGAGGAAGGUGGGGAUGACGUCAAAUCAUCAUGCCCCUUAUGACCUGGGCUACACACG